UACAGAGGGGGCAAGCGUUAUUCGGAAUUACUGGGCGUAAAGGGCGCGUAGGCGGCCGAUCAAGUCAGGCGUGAAAUUCCCGGGCUCAACCUGGGGGCUGCGCUUGAUACUGAUUGGCUUGAAUGCGGGAGAGGAUAGUGGAAUUCCCAGUGUAGAGGUGAAAUUCGUAGAUAUUGGGAAGAACACCGGUGGCGAAGGCGGCUCUCUGGACCUGUCCUGACGCUCAGGCGCGAAAGCUAGGGGAGCAAACAGG
This 253-nucleotide ribosomal RNA is filed under the name uncultured bacterium. Its description in RNAcentral is "partial 16S ribosomal RNA". It matches the Rfam family "Bacterial small subunit ribosomal RNA", at positions 524 to 776 of the family's 1533-position model. The record is from RNAcentral.